Molecule: RNA transcript, 3205 nt
Organism: Neomonachus schauinslandi (Hawaiian monk seal)
Lineage: Eukaryota; Metazoa; Chordata; Mammalia; Carnivora; Phocidae
Gene name: AP-1 complex subunit beta-1-like
Exons: 2
Source: RefSeq, a predicted model, not a curated record
CUGGCUGCUGCCGCCACCCCCACCCUUGCCUCCGGUGCACAUUAAAGAUCCAAAACCAUGACUGACUCCAAGUACUUCACAACCAAUAAAAAAGGAGAAAUCUUUGAAUUAAAGGCUGAACUCAACAAUGAAAAGAAAGAAAAGACGAAGGAGGCUGUGAAGAAAGUGAUUGCUGCCAUGACUGUGGGGAAGGACGUUAGUUCUCUCUUUCCAGAUGUAGUGAACUGUAUGCAAACUGACAACCUGGAAUUAAAGAAGCUUGUUUAUCUCUAUUUGAUGAACUACGCCAAGAGUCAGCCAGACAUGGCCAUCAUGGCUGUCAACAGCUUUGUGAAGGACUGUGAAGAUCCCAAUCCUCUAAUUCGGGCCUUAGCAGUCAGGACCAUGGGGUGCAUCCGGGUGGACAAGAUUACAGAAUAUCUCUGUGAGCCUCUCCGCAAGUGCUUGAAGGAUGAAGAUCCCUAUGUUCGGAAAACAGCAGCAGUCUGUGUGGCAAAACUCCAUGAUAUCAAUGCCCAAAUGGUAGAAGAUCAGGGAUUUCUGGAUUCUCUGCGGGAUCUCAUAGCAGAUUCAAAUCCAAUGGUGGUGGCUAAUGCUGUAGCAGCAUUAUCUGAAAUCAGUGAAUCUCACCCAAACAGCAACCUACUUGAUCUGAACCCACAGAACAUUAAUAAGCUGCUGACAGCCCUGAAUGAAUGCACUGAAUGGGGCCAGAUUUUCAUCUUGGACUGCCUGUCUAAUUACAACCCUAAAGAUGACCGGGAGGCUCAGAGCAUCUGUGAGCGUGUGACUCCCCGGCUAUCUCAUGCCAACUCAGCGGUGGUGCUUUCAGCGGUAAAAGUCCUAAUGAAGUUUCUGGAGUUGUUACCCAAGGACUCCGACUACUACAAUAUGCUGCUGAAGAAGUUGGCCCCUCCACUUGUCACUUUGCUGUCUGGGGAGCCAGAGGUGUAGUACGUUGCCCUGAGGAAUAUCAAUCUAAUUGUCCAGAAAAGGCCUGAAAUCUUGAAGCAGGAAAUCAAAGUCUUCUUUGUGAAGUACAAUGAUCCCAUCUAUGUUAAACUAGAGAAACUGGACAUCAUGAUUCGUUUAGCAUCCCAAGCUAACAUUGCUCAGGUUCUGGUGGAAUUAAAGGAAUAUGCCACAGAGGUGGAUGUUGACUUUGUUCGCAAGGCUGUGCGGGCCCUCGGACGGUGUGCCAUCAAAGUGGAGCAAUCUGCUGAGCGCUGUGUAAGCACAUUGCUUGAUCUCAUCCACACCAAAGUAAAUUAUGUGGUCCAAGAGGCAAUUGUCGUCAUCAGGGACAUCUUUUGCAAAUAUCCCAACAAGUAUGAAAGUAUCAUUGCCACUCUGUGUGAGAACUUAGACUCACUGGAUGAACCAGACGCUCGAGCAGCUAUGAUUUGGAUUGUGGGAGAAUAUGCUGAGAGAAUUGACAAUGCAGAUGAGUUACUAGAGAGCUUCCUGGAGGGUUUUCAUGAUGAAAGCACCCAGGUGCAGCUCACUUUGCUUACUGCCAUCGUGAAGCUGUUUCUUAAGAAACCAUCAGAAACACAGGAGCUGGUACAGCAAGUCUUGAGUUUGGCAACACAGGAUUCUGAUAAUCCUGACCUUCGAGACCUAGGCUAUAUUUAUUGGCGCCUUCUCUCAACGGACCCUGUCACAGCCAAAGAAGUAGUCUUGUCUGAGAAGCCACUGAUCUCUGAGGAGACAGAUCUUAUUGAGCCAACUCUGCUGGAUGAGCUAAUCUGCCACAUUGGAUCUUUGGCUUCUUCCUCCCAAUGCUUUUGUGGAAGGAAGUCAUGGAAUCCAUUGCAAACACUUGCCAAUACAUCAUGGAAGCACUGAUGCAGGUGACAGCCCUGUUGGCACCACCACAGCCACGACCCUGGAACAGCCUCAGGUUAUCCCCUCCCAAGGUGACCUUCUAGGAGACCUCUUAAACCUUGACCUCGGUCCCCCAGUCAAUGUGCCACAGGUGUCCUCCAUGCAGAUGGGAGCAGUGGAUCUCUUGGGAGGAGGACUAGAUAGUCUGCUUGGCAGUGACCUUGGCGGGGGCAUUGGAGGAAGUCCGGCAGUGGGACAAUCCUUCAUCCCCUCAUCAGUGCCUGCAACCUUUGCUCCUUCACCUACUCCUGCUGUGGUCAGCAGUGGUCUGAAUGACCUGUUUGAACUCUCCACUGGAAUAGGCAUGGCACCUGGUGGAUAUGUGGCUCCUAAGGCUGUCUGGCUGCCUGCAGGGCACAUCUAUAUGGAAAUGAACUUCACCAACAAAGCUCCACAGCACAUGACAGACUUUGCAAUCCAGUUUAACAAGAAUAGCUUUGGUGUCAGCCCCAGCACUCCUCUGGCCAUCCAUACACCGCUCAUGCCAAACCAGAGCAUUGAUGUCUCCCUGCCUCUCAACACCUUGGGCCCAGUCAUGAAGAUGGAACCUCUGAAUAACCUGCAGGUGGCUGUGAAAAACAAUAUUGAUGUCUUUUACUUCAGCUGCCUCAUCCCACUCAAUGUGCUUUUUGUAGAAGAUGGCCAAAUGGAGCGCCAGGUCUUCCUUGCCACAUGGAAGGAUAUUCCCAAUGAAAAUGAACUUCAGUUUCAGAUUAAGGAAUGUCAUUUAAAUGAUGACACUGUUUCCAGCAAAUUGCAAAACAACAGUGUUUAUACUAUUGCCAAGAGGAAUGUGGAAGGGCAGGACAUGCUGUACCAAUCCCUGAAGCUCACGAAUGGUAUUUGGAUUUUGGCUGAGCUACGUAUCCAGCCAGGAAACCCAAAUUAUACGCUGUCGCUGAAAUGUAGAGCUCCCAAAGUCUCUCAGUACAUCUAUCAGGUCUACGACAGCAUUUUGAAAAACUAAUAGACUGGCCCGGGGCCCUCCGGCCACCCUGUGAUUGGUGCAAGCCAAGAACUCUUAACUGGAAGAAAUCGUAUUGCCGUGUAGAAUCUGAACCCAAACACACCGAGGCCGCCCACCAAGGUAGUGACUAGUCUAACCUGUGCUAACAUUAGGGCACAACCUGUUGGAUAAUUUUAGCUUCCUGUGAAAAUUUGUAACCACUGCUUCGAUCACACCCCACCUCUUGCCACCUGCCUCUGCGAUCUGUCCUUACUUGUGAGCUUCUCCAUAGUGUAGUUUGAUAUUUUGUAAUUGAGAGCUCAUUUCAAAAGCAGAAAAAGACAAAAAAUAUUAAAGCAAGGAAAAGUGUCA